UACGGAGGGUGCGAGCGUUGUUCGGAAUCACUGGGCGUAAAGCGCGUGUAGGCGGCCCUUUAAGUCCGAUGUGAAAGCCCGGGGCUCACCCCCGGAAGUGCAUUGGAUACUGAAGGGCUGGAGUACCGGAGAGGAGGGUGGAAUUCCUGGUGUAGCGGUGAAAUGCGUAGAUAUCAGGAGGAACACCAAUGGCGAAGGCAGCUCUCUGGGACGGUACUGACGCUGAGACGCGAAAGCGUGGGGAGCGAACAGG
Molecule: ribosomal RNA, 253 nt
Filed under: uncultured bacterium
Lineage: Bacteria
Description: partial 16S ribosomal RNA
Rfam family: Bacterial small subunit ribosomal RNA
Source: RNAcentral